This 1068-nucleotide long non-coding RNA is filed under the name Marmota monax (woodchuck). The record is from RNAcentral. Lineage: Eukaryota; Metazoa; Chordata; Mammalia; Rodentia; Sciuridae.
CCUUGAACAGCUCCUGGUCUCCAUUGUCAAAGUUCCCUUGAUUUCUGCUGAAGCUCCAAGUUUCAGAAAGGACAUAGAAGAGAGGGUUAAGAAAUUAUGUGCCCCACUGAACCAGUCCCCUUGAAGAACACAACCAAACAUGCCUGCUUAUACUUUAUGGUCACUGCCAGUUGCUGCAGUCUGGCUGGGCACAAUUCAGGAGCCACUUAUCAAGCAGAAAUGAACUUUAUUUUUAGAACACACGCUGCACCACAGGAGAGCUCUUCAGGAAUUCCCUUAGAGCCCAACUGCCACCACCGGCUUCCCAUGAGCCUCUCAACCCCCCACUCCUCCUGCUCUUGAGGCCGAUUGGCUGGGUCGUGUGGGCGGAGCCAAAAGAGUCCCCCAAUGAGCAGCUCUGUGGUCUGAAAGGGCAGGGAAACAGCUCGAUGAGCAUCACCGCAGAGGAGCCAAUCAGCUGGCAGCUGGAAGUUUGCUGGGGCCUCUGUGAACCAAUCAGCUGGAAGUUUGCUGGGGCCCCUUCGGCUGUGGCUCUCAACAGCCAGUUGCCAAGGAAGCUGGGAAAUCCAGUCUUUUUUGGUUGUAUGAUUUCUACCUCAAAACUGGUGUGCUGUUAGUGACAAAGGAGAGAAUGGAUAUUGGGGAGGCUGCCGGUGGCCUCUGACAAAGAACAAACCUUAGAACUCACCUUUGCUCCCCUCAUUGACCUAGACCCAGAUAUGCCCCAUGCACUUGGUCAACUUAUAGUUUACACAUGUCAAAAUCUACUAAAUUUAUUGUUUAAGUGGAAAGAAUCUUCCUUACUCAUGAAAUAUCUUUUUUUUCCCCCAAAUGUUUUCAAUGCAAUUUAAAAAAUUCAGUACUGGGGAUUGAAUCCAGGGAUCCUCUACUAUCCUCAGCCCUUUUUAUUUUUUUAUUUUGAGACAGGGUCUCACUAAGUUUCUGAGGUUGGCCUCUGAUUCAUGUUCUUCCUACUUCAGCCUCCUGAGUCCCUGGGAAUACAGGCAUGUAUCACCGUACCUGGCUUCAAUAGAGUUUUAAAUAAUGGUUUGUACAAAAGGAUCUUGC